CGGACGGGUGAGUAAUGUCUGGGAAACUGCCCGAUGGAGGGGGAUAACUACUGGAAACGGUAGCUAAUACCGCAUAACGUCGCAAGACCAAAGAGGGAGACCUUCGGGCCUCUUGCCAUCGGAUGUGCCCAGAUGGGAUUAGCUAGUAGGUGGGGUAACGGCUCACCUAGGCGACGAUCCCUAGCUGGUCUGAGAGGAUGACCAGCCACACUGGAACUGAGACACGGUCCAG
Molecule: ribosomal RNA, 232 nt
Filed under: uncultured bacterium
Lineage: Bacteria
Description: partial 16S ribosomal RNA
Rfam family: Bacterial small subunit ribosomal RNA
Source: RNAcentral